This 89-nucleotide unclassified non-coding RNA is filed under the name Pseudomonas brassicacearum. Lineage: Bacteria; Pseudomonadati; Pseudomonadota; Gammaproteobacteria; Pseudomonadales; Pseudomonadaceae. The record is from RNAcentral.
UGUGGGAGCGAGCUUGCUCGCGAUAACGUCGGUUCAGCUACAUCGAUGUUGACUGGCGCACCGCUAUCGCGAGCAAGCUCGCUCCCACA